Molecule: ribosomal RNA, 292 nt
Filed under: uncultured bacterium
Lineage: Bacteria
Description: partial 16S ribosomal RNA
Rfam family: Bacterial small subunit ribosomal RNA
Source: RNAcentral
GUGCCAGCCGCCGCGGUAAUACGGAGGGUGCAAGCGUUGUCCGGAUUUAUUGGGUUUAAAGGGUGCGUAGGCGGCCCAUUAAGUCAGUGGUGAAAUCCAACAGCUCAACUGUUGAACUGCCAUUGAUACUGGUGGGCUUGAGUAAAGUCGAGGCAGGCGGAACUGGUGGUGUAGCGGUGAAAUGCAUAGAUACCACCAAGAACCCCGAUUGCGAAGGCAGCUUGCUGGGCUUUAACUGACGCUGAGGCACGAAAGCGUGGGGAGCGAACAGGAUUAGAUACCCGGGUAGUCC